This is a non-coding RNA of Myotis lucifugus (little brown bat), 75 nucleotides long. The record is from Rfam. NCBI's taxonomy places the organism in Eukaryota, Metazoa, Chordata, Mammalia, Chiroptera, Vespertilionidae.
CUUAGGGGGGCGGGGGUCCCUCAGCCCGGAUUGUGAGAGGGUGCAGGCCAGGCUAAGGGGCCCCACCGGUGCACA